UGGGAGCUUGCUCCCUGAUGUUAGCGGCGGACGGGUGAGUAACACGUGGGUAACCUGCCUGUAAGACUGGGAUAACUCCGGGAAACCGGGGCUAAUACCGGAUGGUUGUUUGAACCGCAUGGUUCAAACAUAAAAGGUGGCUUCGGCUACCACUUACAGAUGGACCCGCGGCGCAUUAGCUAGUUGGUGAGGUAACGGCUCACCAAGGCAACGAUGCGUAGCCGACCUGAGAGGGUGAUCGGCCACACUGGGACUGAGACACGGCCCAGACUCCUACGGGAGGCAGCAGUAGGGAAUCUUCCGCAAUGGACGAAAGUCUGACGGAGCAACGCCGCGUGAGUGAUGAAGGUUUUCGGAUCGUAAAGCUCUGUUGUUAGGGAAGAACAAGUACCGUUCGAAUAGGGCGGUACCUUGACGGUACCUAACCAGAAAGCCACGGCUAACUACGUGCCAGCAGCCGCGGUAAUACGUAGGUGGCAAGCGUUGUCCGGAAUUAUUGGGCGUAAAGGGCUCGCAGGCGGUUUCUUAAGUCUGAUGUGAAAGCCCCCGGCUCAACCGGGGAGGGUCAUUGGAAACUGGGGAACUUGAGUGCAGAAGAGGAGAGUGGAAUUCCACGUGUAGCGGUGAAAUGCGUAGAGAUGUGGAGGAACACCAGUGGCGAAGGCGACUCUCUGGUCUGUAACUGACGCUGAGGAGCGAAAGCGUGGGGAGCGAACAGGAUUAGAUACCCUGGUAGUCCA
RNAcentral lists this ribosomal RNA (740 nucleotides) under Bacillus tequilensis. RNAcentral's name for it is "bacterial SSU rRNA". It matches the Rfam family "Bacterial small subunit ribosomal RNA", at positions 73 to 797 of the family's 1533-position model. The record is from RNAcentral. Lineage: Bacteria; Bacillati; Bacillota; Bacilli; Caryophanales; Bacillaceae.